Unclassified non-coding RNA from Dipodomys ordii (Ord's kangaroo rat), 353 nucleotides. Its record names the gene 7SK. It matches the Rfam family "7SK RNA". Rfam says of the family: 7SK was discovered as an abundant small nuclear RNA in the mid-70s but a possible function has only recently been suggested. Two independent studies have found that 7SK RNA binds the CDK9/cyclin T complex (known as elongation factor P-TEFb). P-TEFb activates transcription by phosphorylating the C-terminal domain of RNA polymerase II. The record is from Ensembl. NCBI's taxonomy places the organism in Eukaryota, Metazoa, Chordata, Mammalia, Rodentia, Heteromyidae.
AGAUGUGAGGGCGAUCUGGCUGCGACAUCUGUCACCCCAUUGAUCGCCAGGGUUGAUUCAGCUGAUCUGGCUGGCUAGGCGGGUGUCCCCUUCCUCCCUCACCGCUCCAUGUGCGUCCCUCCCGAAGCUGCGCGCUUCGUUGAAGAGGACGACCAUCCCUGAUAGAGGAGGACCUGUCUUCGGUCAAGGGUAUACGAAUAGCUGCGCUCCCCUGCUAGAACCUCCAAACAAGCUCUCAAGGGUUGGAUUUCUACUAUGAAACUUGAGAGGUAGUGUAAGAGAGAUAACAUGGAGGGGAAUGAUGGGCUGACUAAAAAGUUGAAAAAGAGUUUGACUUCUAGACUGAAUAGUUU